UAAAUAAUCUUGAAGAAGGUAUUACUAACAGUGUUAAUGUAAAAAAUAAUGAAGUAACAGAUGGUGAUGUUAAUAACAAUAACUUUAAUUUGCUUGAAAUAAUUAAUAAUAGUAACAUAAUUAUAAAUAAAACGAUUACUAAACCUGUCGAAAUUGUAGAUAUAAUUACAUGUAUAUUUGUUUUUAUUAACGCGGAUUCUGGUAAUAUUACUGAAGAAGAAAAAAAUAAUACGUGAUCUUACAUUAUAUAUUUUAAAAACAAAAGAAAAUUAUUAUUUUAAUAAUAUUAUAAAUAAUAAAAAAUAUAUAUUUAAGUAUCGUAAUAAUGUAAAAGAUGCUAUUAUGUUUAGUGAAUUAUCAAUCAGAAAAAAUGAAAAAAAACGACAUUAUUGUAAUAGGGUUAGUGUUAAGUAAAGAUAUAUCUAUGAGUAGUGUACAGAUAGAUAUUCAUAAUUUAUAUGAUUUAAAAAAUUAUUUAAAUAAUAAAUAUACUAAUAAACAAUUUAACAUGAAUAUUAAAAUUUUUACUUUUUAUUGGAUAUAUGAAGUUUAUGUUUAUGGUUCAAUUUUUUUAAAAAACAAAGAGUUUCAUCAUAUUAUCCGAGAAUAUAAUGGUGUCUAUCAGUUACCGUACGAUGUCCAGUGGGAAAGCAAACCGCUUUGGGGAUUUUACCUCUAUAUCAUUCAAGAUAGCAUCGAAAGUAAAUACAAUGAAGAAAUUGUGAAGAACUUAAAAAA
This is a long non-coding RNA of Piliocolobus tephrosceles (Ugandan red Colobus), 738 nucleotides long. RefSeq lists it as uncharacterized. The transcript has 2 exons. Lineage: Eukaryota; Metazoa; Chordata; Mammalia; Primates; Cercopithecidae. The record is from RefSeq and is a predicted model, not a curated record.